RNAcentral lists this long non-coding RNA (1008 nucleotides) under Salmo salar (Atlantic salmon). Its description in RNAcentral is "lncRNA (ENSSSAG00000105193.1, ENSSSAG00000105343.1, ENSSSAG00020059239.1)". The record is from RNAcentral. Lineage: Eukaryota; Metazoa; Chordata; Actinopteri; Salmoniformes; Salmonidae.
GUAAGUAGUGGGUAGGCAGGUAAGGUAGGAUAGGGGGCUUUGAUAUAGAUAUAUACUUUUGGUUCCGUCCAGCCCCUUUCCCCCAAAUUACCAAGGUAAUGGAAUAAGUUCCUUGUAAAUGGUAAUUCUCUGCCUUUUGUCAUCCUUACUCACACCUAGAGUCCAUACCUUUCACCCCACGGAGAGUUGCGAUGUAGCAGGGUGUUGCGUUCCCUCUUCCUAGAGGCAUGCGUAACAUAGCGGGCGGGCUUUACUUGUCUCAGUGCCCUCUUGUGGCGCCUGCAGGUUUCCUCUGACAUGUUGGUGUGGCUGGCUGGCGGGUGUUAAGAAGCAUGGUUUGGGGGGGUCAUGUUUCGGAGUACGCAUGACUCAACCUUCGCCUCCUUAGCCUGUUUGGAAGUCACAGCGAAGAGACAAGAUCGAAAUUGGACCUGAGCCCUAGGACCAUGCCUCAGGACUACCUGGCUUGAUGACUCCUUGCUGUCCCCAGUUCACCUGGCUGUGCUGCGGCUCCAGUUCCAACUGUUCUGCCUGCAGCUAUGGAACCCUGACCUGUUCACCGGACGUGCUACCUGUCCCAGACCUGUUGUCCCAGACCUGCUGGAACCCUGACCUAUUCACCGGACGUGCUACCUGUCCCAGACCUGCUGUUUUCAACUCUCUAGAGACAGCAGGAGCGGUAGAGAUACUCUCAAAGAUCGGCUAUGAAAAAGCCAACUGACACUUACCCUUGUGUUACUGACUUGUUGCACCCUCGACAACUACUAUGAUUAUUAUUUGACAAUGCUGGUCAUUUAUGAACAUUUGAAAAUCUAGGCCAUGUGCUGUUAUAAUAUCCACCUGGCACAGCCAGAAGAGGACUGGCCACCCCUCAUAGCCUGGUUCCUCUCUAGGUUUCUUCCUAGGUUUUGGCCUUUUUAGGGAGUUUUUCCUAGCCACCGUGCUUCUACACCUGCAUUGCUUGCUGUUUGGGGUUUUAGGCUGGGUUUCUGUACAGCACUUUGUGAU